RNAcentral lists this transfer RNA (76 nucleotides) under Desulfovibrio sp. RNAcentral's name for it is "tRNA-Thr(ggt)". It matches the Rfam family "tRNA". From Rfam's summary of the family: Transfer RNA (tRNA) molecules are approximately 80 nucleotides in length. Their secondary structure includes four short double-helical elements and three loops (D, anti-codon, and T loops). Further hydrogen bonds mediate the characteristic L-shaped molecular structure. tRNAs have two regions of fundamental functional importance: the anti-codon, which is responsible for specific mRNA codon recognition, and the 3' end, to which the tRNAs corresponding amino acid is attached (by aminoacyl-tRNA synthetases). tRNAs cope with the degeneracy of the genetic code in two manners: having more than one tRNA (with a specific anti-codon) for a particular amino acid; and 'wobble' base-pairing, i.e. permitting non-standard base-pairing at the 3rd anti-codon position. Lineage: Bacteria; Pseudomonadati; Thermodesulfobacteriota; Desulfovibrionia; Desulfovibrionales; Desulfovibrionaceae. The record is from RNAcentral. RNAcentral also lists the same sequence under 9 other names.
GCCCACGUAGCUCAGUCGGUAGAGCGCGUCCUUGGUAAGGACGAGGUCAGCAGUUCAAUCCUGCUCGUGGGCUCCA